This is a non-coding RNA of Caenorhabditis elegans, 21 nucleotides long. Lineage: Eukaryota; Metazoa; Nematoda; Chromadorea; Rhabditida; Rhabditidae. The record is from Ensembl.
UUGAAUUCGAACUCCGCAAGU